Long non-coding RNA from Cavia porcellus (domestic guinea pig), 501 nucleotides. RefSeq lists it as uncharacterized. Lineage: Eukaryota; Metazoa; Chordata; Mammalia; Rodentia; Caviidae. The record is from RefSeq and is a predicted model, not a curated record. The transcript has 3 exons.
CAAUAAGCAACACUUCCUCCAGUCACUAAUGCUCCAGGUUUCAUGUCACUCCAUGAGAUGAUCAAGAUCACAAGACUCACAUGCAAAUCUCUUUUGAGAAACUUCACCUUCAUACCUUGAGGAAAUUCCUGAUCCUCACAUGGGGUUCUUACUAUGCAGCCUACUUUUGAACUCACUGUGAGGCCUAAGCUGGCGGAAAGCUACUGAACUCGGGAUCCUCCUGUUUCAGCCUCCAGAACUCUGAGAUAAUAGGUAGGUGCUCACCACGCCCAGCUCUCAUCCCUCUUACAUGAAACACAACUGUAAAGUUCAAAAUCAAUUUUCUUUCUAUACCUAGAAAUACUUACCAAACUACAAAUUUAUUUGGAUCUCUAAUAUCAUUCUGCAGCCCCUCUUCCCAAACACCUUCCUUCUAUUACUAUAUUACUAGUUUUGUUUCAAGUAAUGAUAAUUCACCUUUAAUUUUUCCUCUUCUUUCCCAGCUUAGGGCAAUAAAUAAAU